This 38689-nucleotide long non-coding RNA is filed under the name Triticum aestivum (bread wheat). RNAcentral describes it as "long non-coding RNA (TAES_LNC020188)". Lineage: Eukaryota; Viridiplantae; Streptophyta; Magnoliopsida; Poales; Poaceae. The record is from RNAcentral.
CACAUUUUCGUCGUGAUUCUCCGGUAGAAACUUUGGGGCACUCUUUGAGGUUCUAUGUGUUGGUUGAAUAGAUGAAUUUGAGAUUGUGUGAUGCAUAUCGUAUAAUCAUGCCCACGGAUACUUGAGGUGACAUUGGAGUAUCUAGGUGACAUUAGGGUUUUGGUUGAUUUGUGUCUUAAGGUGUUAUUAUAGUACGAACUCUAGGGUUGUUUGUGACACUUAUAGGAAUAGCCCAACGGAUUGAUUGGAAAGAAUAACUUUGAGGUGGUUUCGUACCCUACCAUAAUCUCUUCGUUCGUUCUCCACUAUUAGUGACUUUGGAGUGACUCUUUGUUGCAUGUUGAGGGAUAGUUAUGUGAUCCAAUUAUGUUAUUGUUGAGAGGACUUGCACUAGUGAAAGUAUGAACCCUAGGCCUUGUUUUAACGCAUUGCAAUACCAUUUACGCUCACUUUUAUCAUUAGUUACCUUGCUGUUUUUAUAAUUUCAGAUUACAAAAACAUUUAUCUACCAUCCAUAUUGCACUUGUAUCACCAUCUCUUCGCCGAACUAGUGCACCUAUACAAUUUACCAUUGUAUUGGGUGUGUUGGGGACACAAGAGACUCUUUGUUAUUUGGUUGCAGGGUUGCUUGAGAGAGACCAUCUUCAUCCUACGCCUCCUACUGAUUGAUAAACCUUAGGUCAUCCACUUGAGGGAAAUUUGCUACUGUCCUACAAACCUCUGCAUUUGGAGGCCCAACAACGUCUACAAGAAGAAGGUUGUGUAGUAGACAUCAAGCUCUUUUCUGGCGCCAUUGCCGGGGAGGUUAGCGCUUGAAGGUAUAUCUUUAGAUCUUGCAAUUGAGUCUUUUAGUUUCUUGUUCUAUCACUAGUUUAGUUUAUAAAAGAAAAUUACAAAAAAAUGGAAUUGAGUUUGCCUCAUAAGCUUCAUCUUUUUAAUAUCUUUCGUGAGUAUGAUGGAAAGGAAAAUUGUGCCAAAGUGUUAGAAGAAGAAUGCGUUAAAAUGUUUGGCACUAAAUCUUUGAAUGAUGAGCAUGAUUGCAAUGUUGUUAGUAUGAAUUCCUUGAAUAUCCAUGAUGCUAAUGAUAUGCAAAGCCACAAGCUUGGGGAAGCUAUGUUUGAUGAAGAUGAUAUUUUUUGUCCCCCGAGUUUUGAUGAGCAAAUUUAUUAUGAUGAAAGCAUGCCUCCUAUUUAUGAUGAUUAUAUUGAUGAAAGUGGAUUUGGAGAGGUCAUGACUUUAUUUUGUGAUGAAUCCACUAUUCCGGAAGAGGUUCCAAUUGAUUAUGAGAAUAAAGUUGCUAUCUAUGAUGAUUAUUGUGAUGACUUGUAUGCUAUAAAGAAUAAUGAUAUACAUGAAACUUGUCAUCAUGAUUUUAGUUUUCAAUUGGAUUAUGCUUCACAUGAUAAUUAUUUUGUUGAGUUUGCUCCCACUAUUAUUCAUGAGAAGAAUUUUGCUUGUGUGGAGAGUAAUAAAAUUUCUAUGCUUGUAGAUCAUGAAAAGAAUGCUUUAGGUGCUGGUUAUAUUGUUGAAUUCAUUCAUGAUGCUACUGCAAAUUAUUAUGAGGGAGGAACAUAUGCUUGUAGGAAUUGCAAUAAUAUCAAGUUUCCUCUCGAUGUGCUUAAAAUCUUGAAGUUAUGCUUGUUUUACUUUCCUAUGCUAGUUGAUUGUUGUUCCCAUAAGUUGUUUGCUCACAAAAUCCCUAUGCAUAGGAAGUGGGUUAGACUUAAAUGUGCUAGUCAUAUUCUUCAUGAUGCUCUCUUUAUGUUACAAUUCUUAUCUUUUAUGUGAGCAUCAUUGAAAUCAUCAUGCCUAGCUAGGGGCGUUAAACGAUAGCGCUUGUUGGGAGGCAACCCAAUUUUAUUUUUAUUCAUUGCUUUUUGAUCCUGUUUAGUAAUAAAUAAUUUAUCUAGCCUCUGUUUUGGUUGUGUUUUUUUGUGUUUAAUUAGUGUUUGUGCCAAGUAGAACCGUUGGGAAGACUUGGGGAAAUUCUUGUUACACUUGCUGUAAAAAACAGAAACUUUAGCGCUCACGAGAACUGCUGUCAUUUUUAUUUGGAAAGUGAUAUUUAGUUAAUUAUUUUUUCAGAUGCUUAAUAGAUAAAUUACUCAGGUCCAGAAAUUUAUUUUAGAAUUUUUGGGUUUCCAGAAGUUUGCGUUAGUUACAGAUUACUACAGACUGUUCUGUUUUUGACAGAUUCUGUUUUCUAUGUGUUGUUUGCUUAUUUUGAUGAAUCUAUGAGUAGUAUCGAAGGGUAUGAACCAUAGAGAAGUUGUAAUACAGUAGGUUUAACACCAAUAUAAAUAAAGAAUGAGUUAAUUACCGUACCUUGAAGUGGUAUUUUGUUUUCUUUCGCUAACGGAGCUCACGAGAUUUUCUGUUAAGUUUUGUGUUGUGAAGUUUUCAAGUUUUGUGUAAAGAAUCAAUGGACUAUGGAAUAAGGAGUGGCAAGAUCCUAAGCUUGGGGAUGCCCAAGGCACCCCAAGGUAAUAUUCAAGGACAACCAAAAGCCUAAGCUUGGGGAUGCCCCGGAAGGCAUCCCCUCUUUCGUCUUCGUUCAUCGGUAACUUUACUUGGAGCUAUAUUUUUAUUCGCCACAUGAUAUGUGUUUUGCUUGGAGCAUCAUUUUUUUUUCUUGUUUGAAUAAAAUACCAAGAUCUGAAAUUAUUAAAUGUUAGAGAGUCUUCAUAUAGUUUCAUAAUUGUUCGACUACUCAUUUGUCUUCACUUAUAUCUUUCGGAGUAGUUUGUCAUUUGCUCUAGUGCUUCACUUAUAUCUUUUUAGAGCACGGUGGUGGUUUUAUUUUGUAGAAAUAAUUGAUCUCUCAUGCUUCAUUUAUAUCAUUUUUAGAGUCUUUAGAACAGCAUGGCAAUUUGCUUUCGUUAUGAAUUUAGUCCUAAUAUGAUGGGCAUCCAAGAGGGAUAUAAUAAAAACUUUCAUAUAAAGUGCAUUGAAUACUAUGAGAAGUUUGAUACUUGAUGAUUGUUUUUAGAUAUGAAGAUGGUGAUAUUAGAGUCAUGCUAGUUGAGUAGUUGUGAAUUUGAGAAAUACUUGUGUUAAAGUUUGUGAUUCCUGUAGCAUGCACGUAUGGUGAACCGUUAUGUGAUGAAGUCGGAGCAUGAUUUAUUUAUUGAUUGUCUUCCUUAUGAGUGGCGGUCGGGGAUGAGCGAUGAUCUUUUCCUACCAAUCUAUCCCCCUAGGAGCAUGCGCGUAGUACUUUGUUUCGAUAACUUGUAGAUUUUUGCAAUAAGUAUAUGAGUUCUUUAUGACUAAUGUUGAGUCCAUGGAUUAUACGCACUCUCACCCUUCCACCUUUGCUACCCUCUCUAGUACCGCGCAACUUUCGCCGGUACCAUAAACCCACCAUAUAUCUUCCUCAAAACAGCCACCAUACCUACCUAUUAUGGCGUUUCCAUAGCCAUUCCGAGAUAUAUUGCCAUGCAACUUUCCACCGUUCCGUUUAUUAUGACACGCUUCAUCAUUGUCAUAUUGCUUUGCAUGAUCAUGUAGUUGACAUCGUAUUUGUGGCAAAGCCACCGUUCAUAAUUCUUCCAUACGUGUCACUCAUGAGUCAUUGCACAUCCCGGUACACCGCCAGAGGCAUUCAUAUAGAGUCAUAUCUUGUCCUAAGUAUCAAGUUGUAAUUCUUGAGUUGUAAGUAAAUAAAAGUGUGAUGAUCAUCAUUAUUAGAGCAUUGUCCAAGUGAGGAAAGGAUGACUGAGACUAUGAUUCCCCCACAAGUCGGGAUGAGACUCCGGACAAAAAAGAGAGGCCAAAGAAGCCCCCCCCNNNNNNNNNNNNNNNNNNNNNNNNNNNNNNNNNNNNNNNNNNNNNNNNNNNNNNNNNNNNNNNNNNNNNNNNNNNNNNNNNNNNNNNNNNNNNNNNNNNNNNNNNNNNNNNNNNNNNNNNNNNNNNNNNNNNNNNNNNNNNNNNAAAAGAGGCCAUAAAAAAAGAGAAGGACCAAAUAAAAAAUAAAAAAUGAGAGAAAAAGAGAGAAGGGGCAAUGCUACUAUCCUUUUACCACACUUGUGCUUCAAAGUAGCACCAUGAUCUUCAUGAUAGAGAGUCUCCUAUGAUAUCACUUUCAUAUACUAGUGGGAAUCUUUCAUUAUAGAACUUGGCUUGUAUAUUCCAAUGAUGGGCUUCCUCAAAUGCCCUAGGUCUUCGUGAGCAAGCAAGUUGGAUGCACACCCACUUAGUUUCUUUUUGAGCUUUCAUACACUUAUAGCUCUAGUGCAUCCGUUGCAUGGCAAUCCCUACUCACUCACAUUGAUAUCUAUUGAUGAGCAUCUCCAUAGCCCGUUGAUACGCCUAGUCAAUGUGAGACUAUCUUCUCCUUUUUGUCUUCUCCGCAAUCACCAUUCUAUUCCACCUAUAGUUCUAUGUCCAUGGCUCACGCUCAUGUAUUGCGUGAAGAUUGAAAAAGUUUGAGAACAUCAAAAGUAUGAAACAAUUGCUUGGCUUGUCAUCGGGGUUGUGCAUGAUUUAAAUAUUUUGUGUGGUGAAGAUAGAGCAUAGCCAGACUAUAUGAUUUUUGUAGGGAUAGCUUUCUUUGGCCAUGUUAUUUUGAGAAGACAUGAUUGCUUAGUUAGUAUGCUUGAAGUAUUAUUAUUUUUAUGUCAAUAUUAAACUUUUGUCUUGAAUCUUAUGGAUCUGAAUAUUCUUGCUACAAUAAAGAGAAAUACAUGAUGAAUAUGUUAGGUAGAAUUCCACAUCAAAAAUUUUGUUUUUAUCAUUUACCUACUCGAGGACGAGCAGGAAUUAAGCUUGGGGAUGCUGAUACGUCUCCAACGUAUCUAUAAUUUUUGAUUGUUCCAUGCUAUUAUAUUAUCAACCUUGGAUGUUUUAUAUGCAUUUAUAUGCUAUUUUAUAUGAUUUUUGGGACUAAGCUGUUAACCUAGAGCCUAGUGCCUGUUUCUGUUUUUUCCUUGUUUUAGAGUAUCGCAGAAAAAGAAAAUCAAACGGAGUCCAAUUGACCUGAAACUUUAUGGAACUUAUUUUUGGAACAAAAGCAAUCUAGAAGACUUGGAGUGCACGUCAGGGGAUCAACGAGGAAGCCACGAGGCAGGGGGCGCGCCCACCCCCCUGGGCACGCCCUCCACCCUCAUGGGCCCCUUGUGGCUGCCUGACGUACUUCUUCCGCCUAUAUAUCCAUAUACACCCUAAAAACAUCCGGGAGCACAAUAGAUCGGGAGUUCCGCCGCCAGAAGCCUCCGUGGCCACCGAAAACCAAUCUAGACCCAUUUCGGCACCCUGCCGGAGGGGGCAAUCCCUCUCUGGUGGCCAUCUUCAUCAUCCCAGUGCUCUCCAUGAAGAGGAGGGAGUAGUUCUCCCUCAGGGCUGAGGGUAUGUACCAGUAGCUAUGUGUUUGAUCUCUCUCUCUCGUGUUCUUGAGGUGGUACGAUCUUGAUGUAUCACGAGCUUUGCUAUUAUAGUUGGAUCUUAUGAUGUUUCUCCCCCUCUACUCUCUUGUAAUUAAUUGAGUUUUCCCUUUGAAGUUAUCUUAUCGGAUUGAGUCUUUAAAGAUUUGAGAACACUUGAUGUAUGUCUUGCCGUGCGUAUCUGUGGUGACAAUGGGAUAUCACGUGAUUCACUUGAUGUAUGUUUUGGUGAUCAACUUGCGGGUUCCGCCCAUGAACCUAUGCAUAGGGGUUGGCACACGUUUUCGUCGUGAUUCUCCGAUAGAAACUUUGGGGCACUCUUUGAGGUUCUAUGUGUUGGUUGAAUAGAUGAAUUUGAGAUUGUGUGAUGCAUAUCGUAUAAUCAUGCCCACGGAUACUUGAGGUGACAUUGGAGUAUCUAGGUGACAUUAAGGUUUGGGUUGAUUUGUGUCUUAAGGUGUUAUUCUAAUACGAACUCUAGGGCUGUUUGUGACACUUAUAGGAAUAGCCCAACGGAUUGAUUGGAAAGAAUAACUUUGAGGUGGUUUCGUACCCUACCAUAAUCUCUUCGUUCGUUCUCCGCUAUUAGUGACUUUGGAGUGACUCUUUGUUGCAUGUUGAGGGAUAUGAAGGAAAUAUGCCCUAGAGGCAAUAAUAAAGUUAUUAUUUAUUUCCUUAUAUCAUGAUAAAUUUUUAUUAUUCAUGCUAGAAUUUUAUUAACCGGAAACGUAAUACUUGUGUGAAUACAUAGACAAACAAAGUGUCACUAGUAUGCCUAUACUUGACUAGCUCGUUAAUCGAAGAUGGUUAUGUUUCCUAACCAUAGACAUGAAUUGUCAUUUGAUUAAUGGGAUCACAUCAUUAGGAGAAUGAUGUGAUUGACAUGAUCCAUUCCAUUAGCUUAGCACCCGAUCGUUUAGUAUGUUGCUAUUGCUUUCUUCAUGACUUAUACAUGUUCCUAUGAUUAUGAGAUUAUGCAACUCCCGUUUACCGGAGGAACACUUUGUGUGCUACCAAACGUCACAACGUAACUAGGUGAUUAUAAAGGUGCUCUACAGGUGUCUCCAAAGGUACAUGUUGGGUUGGCGUAUUUCGAGAUUAGGAUUUGUCGCUCUGAUUGUCGGAGAGGUAUCUCUGGGCCCUCUCGGUAAUACACAUCACUUAAGCCUUGCAAGCAAUGCAACUAAUAAGUUAGUUGCAAGAUGAUGUAUUACGAAACGAGUAAAGAGACUUGCUGGUGACGAGACUGAACUAGGUAUUGAGAUACCGAUGAUCGAAUCUCGGGCAAGUAACAUACCGAUGACAAAGGGAACAAUGUAUGUUGUUAUGCGGUCUGACCAAUAAAGAUCUUCGUAGAAUAUGUAGGAGCCAAUAUGAGCAUCCAGGUUCCUCUACUGGUUAUUGACCGGAGACGUGUCUCGGUCAUGUCUACAUUGUUCUCGAACCCAUAGGGUCCGCACGCUUAACGUUACGAUGACAGUUUCAUUAUGAGUUUAUAUAUUUUGAUGUACCGAAGGUUGUUCGGAGUCCCGGAUGUGAUCACGGACUUGACGAGGAGUCUCGAAAUGGUCGAUACAUAAAGAUCGAUAUAUUGGACGACUAUAUUUGGACACCGAAAAGGUUCUGGGUAAGAUUGGGACAAUACCGGAUCACCAGGAGGUUAUCGGAACCCCCCGGGAGGUAUAUGGGCCUUAUUGGGCCUUAGUGGAAAGGAGGGGAAAGGAGCAAGGGAGGGGGCGCCCCCCCCCCCAAGCCCAAUCCAAAUUGGGAGGGGGGCGGGCCCCCCUUUCCUUCCUCCCUCCUUCCUCUUCCUUCCCUCUCCUACUCCUAAUAGGAAAAAGGGGAGUCCUACUCCCGGUGGGAGUUGGACUCCCCCCCUUGGGUGCGCCACCCUCCUUGGCCGGCCCCUCCUCCACUCCUUUAUAUACGGGGGCAGGAGGCACCCCAGAGACACAACAAUUGAUCAUUGAUCUCUUAGCCAUGUGCGGUGCUCCCCUCCACCAUAAUCCUCGAUAAUAUUGUAGCGGUGCUUAGGCGAAGCCCUGCGACGGUAGAACAUCAAGAUCGUCACCAUGCCGUCGUGCUGACGGAACUCAUCCCCGACACUUUGCUGGAUCGGAGUCCGGGGAUCGUCAUCGAGCUGAACGUGUUCAAAACUCGAAGGUGACGUAGUUUCGGUGCUUGAUCGGUUGGGCCAUGAAGACGUAUGACUACAUCAACCGCGUUGUUAUAAAGCUUCCGCUUCCGGUCUACGAGGGUACAUAGACAACACUCUCCCCUCUCGUUGUUGUGCAUCACCAUGAUCUUGCGUGUGCGUAGGAUUUUUUUUGAAAUUACUACGUUCCCCAACAGUGGCAUCCGAGCCUAGGUUUUAUGUGUUGAUGUUAUAUGCACGAGUAGAACACAAGUGAGUUGUGGGCGAUAUAAGUCAUACUGCUUACCAGCAUGUCAUACUUUGGUUCGGCGGUAUUGUUGGAUGAAGCGGCCCGGACCGACAUUACGCGUACGCUUACGCGAUACUGGUUCUACCGACGUGCUUUGCACACAGGUGGCUGGCGGGUGUCAGUUUCUCCAACUUUAGUUGAACCAAGUGUGGCUACGCCCGGUCCUUGCGAAGGUUAAAACAGCACCAACUUGACAAACUAUCGUUGUGGUUUUUGAUGCGUAGGUAAGUUUGGUUUUUGCUAAGCCCGUAGCAGCCACGUAAAACUUGCAGGAAACAAAGUAGAGGACGUCUAACUUGUUUUUGCAGGGCAUGUUGUGAUGUGAUAUGGUCAAGGCAUGAUGCUAAAUUUUAUUGUAUGAGAUGAUCAUGUUUUGUAACCAAGUUAUCGGCAACUGGCAGGAGCCAUAUGGUUGUCGCUUUAUUGUAUGCAAUGCAAUCGCCCUGUAAUGCUUUACUUUAUCACUAAGCGGUAGCGAUAGUCGUAGAAGCAUAAGAUUGGCGAGAUGACAACGAUGCUACGAUGGAGAUCAAGGUGUCACGCCGGUGACGAUGGUGAUCAUGACAAUGCUUCGGAGAUGGAGAUCACAAGCACAAGAUGAUGAUGGCCAUAUCAUAUCACUUAUAUUGAUUGCAUGUGAUGUUUAUCUUUUAUGCAUCUUAUCUUGCUUUGAUUGACGGUAGCAUUAUCAGAUGAUCUCUCACUAAAUUUCAAGAUAAAAGUGUUCUCCCUGAGUAUGCACCAUUGCCAAAGUUCAUCGUGCCAAGACACCACGUGAUGAUCGGGUGUGAUAAGCUCUACGUCCGUCUACAACGGGUGCAAGCCAGUUUUGCACACGCAGAAUACUCAGGUUAAACUUGACGAGCCUAGCAUAUGCAGAUAUGGCCUUGGAACAAUGAGACCGAAAGGUCGAGCGUGAAUCAUAUAGUAGAUAUGAUCAACAUAGUGAUGUUCACCAUUGAAAACUACUCCAUUUCACGUGAUGAUCGGUUAUGGUUUAGUUGAUUUGGAUCACGUGAUCACUUAGAAGAUUAGAGGGAUGUCUUUCUAAGUGGGAGUUCUUAAGUAAUAUGAUUAAUUGAACUUAAAUUUAUCAUGAACUUAGUACCUGAUAGUAUCUUGCUUAUUUAUGUUUGAUUGUAGAUAGAUGGCCCAUGUUGUUGUUUCGUUGAAUUUUAAUGCGUUCCUUGAGAAAGCAAAGUUGAAAGAUGGUAGCAAUUAUACGGACUGGGUCCGUAACUUGAGGAUUAUCCUCAUUGCUGCACAGAAGAAUUACGUCCUGGAAGCACCGCUGGGUGCCAGGCCUGCUGCUGAUGCAACUGACGACGUUAAGAAUGUCUGGCAGAGCAAAGCUGAUGACUACUCGAUAGUUCAAUGUGCCAUGCUUUACGGCUUAGAACCGUAUCUUCAACGACAUUUUGAACGUCAUGGAGCAUAUGAGAUGUUCCAGGAGUUGAAGCUAAUAUUUCAAGCAAAUGCCCGGAUUGAGAGAUAUGAAGUCUCCAAUAAGUUCUAUAGCUGCAAGAUGGAGGAGAACAGUUCUGUCAGUGAGCAUAUACUCAAAAUGUCUGGGUAUAAUAAUCACUUGAUUCAACUGGGAGUUAAUCUUCUGGAUGAUUGCGUCAUUAACAGAAUUCUCCAAUCACUUCCACCUAGCUACAAGAGCUUCAUGAUGAACUAUAAUAUGCAAGGGAUGGAUAAGACAAUUCCCGAGCUCUUCGCAAUGCUAAAAGUUGCGGAGGUAGAAAUCAAGAAGGAGCAUCAAGUAUUGAUGGUCAACAAGACCACUAGUUUCAAUAAAAAGGGCAAGGGGAAGAAGAAGGGGAACUUCAAGAAGAACAGCAAGCAAGUUGCUGCUCAGGAGAAGAAACCCAAGUCUAGACCUAAGCCUGAAACUGAGUGCUUCUACUGCAAGCAGACUGGUCACUGGAAGCGGAACUGCCCCAAGUAUUUGGCAGAUAAGAAGGAUGGCAAGGUGAACAAAGGUAUAUAUGAUAUACAUGUUAUUGAUGUGUACCUUACUAGAGCUCGCAGUAGCACCUGGGUAUUUGAUACUGGUUCUGUUGCUAAUAUUUGCAACUCGAAACAGGGACUACGGAUUAAGCGAACACUGGCGAAGGACGAGGUGACGAUGCGCGUGGGAAAUGGUUCCAAAGUCGAUGUGAUCGCGGUCGGCACGCUACCUCUACAUCUACCAUCAGUAUUAGUAUUAGACCUAAAUAAUUGUUAUUUGGUGCCAGCAUUGAGCAUGAACAUUAUAUCUGGAUCUUGUUUGAUGCGAGACGGUUAUUCAUUUAAAUCAGAGAAUAAUGGUUGUUCUAUUUAUAUGAGUAAUAUCUUUUAUGGUCAUGCACCCUUGAAGAGUGGUCUAUUUUUGAUGAAUCUCGAUAGUAGUGAUACACAUAUUCAUAAUGUUGAAGCCAAAAGAUGCAGAGUUGAUAAUGAUAGUGCAACUUAUUUGUGGCACUGCCGUUUAGGUCAUAUCGGUGUAAAGCGCAUGAAGAAACUACAUACUGAUGGACUUUUGGAACCACUUGAUUAUGAAUCACUUGGUACUUGCAAACCGUGCCUCAUGGGCAAGAUGACUAAAACGCCGUUCUCCGGUACUAUGGAGAGAGCAACAGAUUUGUUGGAAAUCAUACAUACAGAUGUAUGUGGUCCAAUGAAUGUUGAAGCUCGUGGCGGAUAUAAGUUCAAAGAAUUUCAGAGUGAAGUUGAAAAUCAUCGUAACAAGAAAAUAAAGUUUCCACGAUCUGAUCGUGGAGGAGAAUAUUUGAGUUACGAGUUUGGUUUACAUUUGAAACAAUGCGGAAUAGUUUCGCAACUCACGCCACCCGGAACACCACAGCGUAAUGGUGUGUCCGAACGUCAUAAUCGUACUUUACUUGAUAUGGUGCGAUCUAUGAUGUCUCUUACAGAUUUACCGCUAUCGUUUUGGGGUUAUGCUUUAGAGACGGCCGCAUUCACGUUAAAUAGGGCACCAUCAAAAUCCUUUGAGACGACGCCUUAUGAACUAUGGUUUGGCAAGAAACCAAAGUUGUCAUUUCUGAAAGUUUGGGGCUGCGAUGCUUAUGUGAAAAAGCUUCAACCUGAUAAGCUUGAACCCAAAUCGGAGAAAUGUGCCUUCAUAGGAUACCCGAAGGAGACUGUUGGGUACACCUUCUAUCACAGAUCCGAAGGCAAGACAUUUGUUGCUAAGAAUGGAUCCUUUCUAGAGAAGGAGUUUCUCUCGAAAGAAGUGAGUGGGAGGAAAGUAGAACUUGAUGAGAUAACUGUACCUGCUCCCUUAUUGGAAAGUAGUACAUCACAGAAACCGGUUUCUGUGACACCUACACCAAUUAGUGAGGAAGCUAAUGAUGAUGAUCAUGAAACUUCAGAACAAGUUACUACUAACCUCGUAGAUCAACCAGAGUAAGAUCUGCACCAGAGUGGUACGGUAAUCCUGUUCUGGAAGUCAUGCUACUAGAUCAUGAUAAACCUACGAACUAUGAAGAAGCAAUGGUGAGCCCAGAUUCCGCAAAAUGGCUUGAAGCCAUGAAAUCUGAGAUGGGAUCCAUGUAUGAGAACAAAGUGUGGACUUUGGUUGACUUGCCCAAUGAUCGGCAAGCAAUUGAAAAUAAAUGGAUCUUCAAGAAGAAGACUGACGCUGACGGUAAUGUUACUGUCUACAAAGCUCGACUUGUCGCAAAAGGUUUUCGACAAAUUCAAGGAAUUGACUACGAUGAGACCUUCUCACCCGUAGCGAUGCUUAAGUAUGUCCGAAUCAUGUUAGCAAUUGCCGCAUUUUAUGAUUAUGAAAUUUGGCAGAUGGAUGUCAAAACUGCAUUCCUGAAUGGAUUUCUGGAAGAAGAGUUGUAUAUGAUGCAGCCGGAAGGUUUUGUCGAUCCAAAAGGAGCUAACAAAGUGUGCAAGCUCCAGCGAUCCAUUUAUGGACUGGUGCAAGCAUCUCGGAGUUGGAAUAAACGCUUUGAUAGUGUGAUCAAAGCAUUUGGUUUUGUACAGACUUUUGGAGAAGCAUGUAUUUACAAGAAAGUGAGUGGGAGCUCUGUAGCAUUUCUGAUAUUAUAUGUGGAUGCCAUAUUGCUAAUCGGAAAUGAUAUAGAAUUUCUGGAUAGCAUAAAGGGAUACUUGAAUAAGAGUUUUUCAAUGAAAGACCUCGGUGAAGCUGCUUACAUAUUGGGCAUUAAGAUCUAUAGAGAUAGAUCAAGACGCUUAAUUGGACUUUCACAAAGCACAUACCUUGAAAAAGUUUUGAAGAAGUUCAAAAUGGAUCAAGCAAAUAAAGGAUUCUUGCCUGUGUUACAAGAUGUGAAGUUGAGUAAGACUGAAUGCCCGACCACUGCAGAAGAUAGAGAGAAAAUGAAAGAUGUUCCCUAUGCUUCAGCCAUAGGCUCUAUCAUGUAUGCAAUGCUGUGUACCAGACCUGAUGUGUGCCUUGCUAUAAGUCUAGCAGGGAGGUGCCAAAGUAAUCCAGGAGUGGAUCACUGGACAACGGUCAAAAACAUCCUGAAAUACCUGAAAAGGACUAAGGAUAUGUUUCUCGUAUAUUGAGGUGACAAAGAGCUCAUCGUAAAUGGUUACAUUGAUGCAAGCUUUGACACUGAUCCAGACGAUUCUAAAUCACAAACCGGAUACGUAUUUACAUUAAACGGUGGAACUGUCAGUUGGUGCAGUUCUAAACAAAGCAUCGUGGCGGGAUCUACAUGUGAAGCGGAGUACAUAGCUGCUUCGGAAGCAGCAAACGAAGGAUUCUGGAUGAAGGAGUUCAUAUCCGAUCUAGGUGUCAUACCUAGUGCAUCGGGUCCAAUGAAAAUCUUUUGUGACAAUACUGGUGAAAUUGCCUUGGCAAAGGAAUCCAGAUUUCACAAGAGAACCAAGCACAUCAAGAGAUGCUUCAAUUCCAUUCGGGAUCUAGUCCAGGUGGGAGACAUAGAGAUUUGCAAGAUACAUACGGAUCUGAAUGUAGCAGACCCAUUGACUAAGCCUCUUCCACGAGCAAAACAUGAUCAGCACCAAGGCUCCAUGGGUGUUAGAAUCAUUACUGUGUAAUCUAGAUUAUUGACUCUAGUGCAAGUGGGAGACUGAAGGAAAUAUGCCCUAGAGGCAAUAAUAAAGUUAUUAUUUAUUUCCUUAUAUCAUGAUAAAUGUUUAUUAUUCAUGCUAGAAUUGUAUUAACCGGAAACGUAAUACUUGUGUGAAUACAUAGACAAACAAAGUGUCACUAGUAUGCCUCUACUUGACUAGCUCGUUAAUCGAAGAUGGUUAUGUUUCCUAACCAUAGACAUGAGUUGUCAUUUGAUUAACGGGAUCACAUCAUUAGGAGAAUGAUGUGAUUUACAUGACCCAUUCCAUUAGCUUAGCACCCGAUCGUUUAGUAUGUUGCUAUUGCUUUCUUCAUGACUUAUACAUGUUCCUAUGACUAUGAGAUUAUGCAACUCCCAUUUACCGGAGGAACACUUUGUGUGCUACCAAACGUCACAACGUAACUGGGUGAUUAUAAAGGUGCUCUACAGGUGUCUCCAAAGGUACAUGUUGGGUUGGCGUAUUUCGAGAUUAGUAUUUGUCGCUCCGAUUGUCGGAGAGGUAUCUUUGGGCCCUCUCGGUAAUACACAUCACUUAAGCCUUGCAAGCAAUGCAACUAAUAAGUUAGUUGCAAGAUGAUGUAUUACGGAACGAGUAAAGAGACUUGCCGGUAACGAGAUUGAACUAGGUAUUGAGAUACCGACGAUCGAAUCUCGGGCAAGUAACAUACCGAUGACAAAGGGAACAACGUAUGUUGUUAUGCGGUCUGACCAAUAAAGAUCUUCGUAGAAUAUGUAGGAGCCAAUAUGAGCAUCCAGGUUCCGCUAUUGGUUAUUGACCGAAGACGUGUCUCGGUCAUGUCUACAUUGUUCUCGAACCCGUAGGGUCCGCACGCUUAACGUUACGAUGACAGUUUUAUUAUGAGUUUAUAUAUUUUGAUAUACCGAAGGUUGUUCGGAGUCCCGGAUGUGAUCACGGACUUGACGAGGAGUCUCGAAAUGGUCGAGAUAUAAAGAUUGAUAUAUUGGACGACUAUAUUUGGACACCAGAAAGGUUCCGGGUAAGAUUGGGACAAUACCGGAUCACCGGGAGGUUAUCGGAACCCCCCGGGAGGUAUAUGGGCCUUAUUGGGCCUUAGUGGAAAGGAGGGGAAAGGAGCAAGGGAGGGGGCGCCCCCCCCCAAGCCCAAUCCGAAUUGGAAGGGGGGCCGGGCCCCCCUUUCCUUCCUCCCUCCUUCCUCUUCCUUCCCUCUCAUACUCCUAAUAGGAAAAAGGGGAGUCCUACUCCCGAUGGGAGUUGGACUCCCCCCUUGGGCGCGCCACCCUCCUUGGCCGGCCCCCUCCUCCACUCCUUUAUAUACGGGGGCAGGGGGCACCCUAGAGACACAACAAUUGAUCAUUGAUCUCUUAGCCGUGUGCAGUGCCCCCCUCCACCAUAAUCCUCGAUAAUAUUGUAGCGGUGCUUAGGCGAAGCCCUGCGACGGUAGAACAUCAAGAUCGUCACCACGCCGUCGUGCUGACGGAACUCAUCCCCGACACUUUACUGGAUCGGAGUCCGGGGAUCGUCAUCGAGCUGAACAUGUGCAAAACUCGGAGGUGCCGUAGUUUCGGUGCUUGAUUGGUCGGGCCGUGAAGACGUACGACUACAUCAACCACGUUGUUAUAACGCUUCCGCUUCCGGUCUACGAGGGUACAUAGACAACACUCUCCCCUCUUGUUGCUGUGCAUCACCAUGAUCUUGCGUGUGCGUAGGAAAUGUUUUGAAAUUACUACGUUCCCCAACAGGAUAGUUAUGUGAUCCAAUUAUGUUAUUGUUGAGAGGACUUGCACUAGUGAAAGUAUGAACACUAGGCCUUGUUUCAACGCAUUGCAAUACCGUUUACGCUCACUUUUAUCAUUAGUUACCUUGCUGUUUUUAUAAUUUCAGAUUACAAAAACCUUUAUCUACCAUUCAUAUUGCACUUGUAUCACUAUCUCUUCGCCGAACUAGUGCACCUAUACAAUUUACCAUUGUAUUGGGUGUGUUGGGGACACAAGAGACUCUUUGUUAUUUGGUUGCAGGGUUGCUUGAGAGAGACCAUCUUCAUCCUACGCCUCCUACAGAUUGAUAAACCUUAGGUCAUCCACUUGAGGGAAAUUUGCUACUGUCCUACAAACCUCUGCACUUGGAGGCCCAACAACGUCUACAAGAAGAAGGUUGUGUAGUAGACAUCAAGGGGAAACAAGAGAAAGUUCGGAGCAAAACAGUGAGGCGGCCUCCCUUGAGGAGGGCCGCCGGUCAAGAUGAGAACCCUAUGCUGGAACUGUCGUGGGAUUGGCGACCCCGCGACAGUACUGAGCUCCGCGAUCUUAUGGAGGCUAGUGCGCCGUCGGUGCUUUGUAUAGUGGAGACACAGAUAGCAAAGAACCGAGUGGAGGGUUUGGAGGCUUCGUUAGGUUUUGAUAGUAGCUUUGCAGUAGCAAGUAGUGGAAGGAGUGGAGGAUUAUGUAUUUUCUGGAAAUCAACUGUUGAUCUUUUAAUAAAAAAACUUUUCUCAAUACCACAUUGACUCAUGGGUUUCUGAACCAGGCGCCGUGCAAUGGCAUUUGACGUGUUUCUAUGGGGAGGCAAAUAGGAGCUGUUGGAAAUAUGCCCUAGAGGCAAUAAUAAAUUGGUUAUUAUUAUAUUUCAUUGUUCAUGAUAACCGUUUAUUAUCCAUGCUAGAAUUGUAUUGAUAGGAAACUCAGAUACAUGUGUGGAUACAUAGACAACACCAUGUCCCUAGUAAGCCUCUAGUUGACUAGCUCGUUGAUCAAUAAGAUGGUUACGGUUUCCUGACCAUGGACAUUGGAUGUCGUUGAUAACGGGAUCACAUCAUUAGGAGAAUGAUGUGAUGGACAAGACCCAAUCCUAAGCCUAGCACAUAGAUCUUGUAGUUCGUAUGCUAAAGCUUUUCUAAUGUCAAGUAUCAUUUCCUUAGACCAUGAGAUUGUGCAACUCCCGGAUACCGUAGGAGUGCUUUGGGUGCGCCAAACGUCACAACGUAACUGGGUGGCUAUAAAGGUUCUUACAGGUAUCUCCGAAAGUGUCUGUUGGGUUGGCACGAAUCGAGACUGGGAUUUGUCACUCCAUGUAAACGGAGAGGUAUCUCUAGGCCCACUCGGUAGGACAUCAUCAUAAUGUGCACAAUGUGAUCAAGGAGUUGAUCACGGGAUGAUGUGUUACGGAACGAGUAAAGAGACUUGCCGGUAACGAGAUUGAACAAGGUAUCGGGAUACCGACGAUCGAAUCUCAGGCAAGUAUCGUACCGAUGGACAAAGGGAAUUGAAUACGGGAUUGAUUGAAUCCUCGACAUCGUGGUUCAUCCGAUGAGAUCAUCGUGGAACAUGUGGGAGCCAACAUGGGUAUCCAGAUCCCGCUGUUGGUUAUUGGCCGGAGAGUUGUCUCGGUCAUGUCUGCAUGGUUCCCGAACCCGUAGGGUCUACACACUUAAGGUUCGAUGACGCUAGGGUUAUUAGGAAGACUUGUAUGUGAUUACCGAAUGUUGUUUGGAGUCCCAGAUGAGAUCCCGGACGUCACGAGGAGUUCCAGAAUGGUCCGGAGGUAAAGAUUUAUAUAUGGAAAGUUGUUGUUCGGGUUUCGGGAAAAGUUCGGUUUUUCCCGGUAUUGUAUCGGGAAGCUUCCGGAAGGUUCCGGAGGAUUCUGGAGGGGUCCGGAGGUCCGGAAAAUGUUCCACCACGUCCAAUAUAGCAACAUGGGCUGUAGGGGGGCGCCCUAACCUUAAUGGGCCAAGGGCACCAGCCCCCCCCCCAAGGCCCAUGCGCAUGGGAGACGGGAAACCCUAAGGGGGAGGGCCUCCACUUGACUUGGGAGGCACUCCUCCCCCCCUUGGCCGCUGCCCCAACCCUAGAUGGGAUCUAGGGGGGCCGGCCCCCCUCUCUCCCCACCUAUAAAUAGUGGAGGGGUAGGAGGGCGACCACACCCUGACCCUGGCGCAGCCCUCCCUCCUCCUACCUUCUCCUCCUCCUCCAUGGUGCUUGGCGAAGCCCUGCCGGAGAACCACAAGCUCCUCCACCACCACGCCGUCGUGCUGUUGGACUUCUUCCUCAACCUCUCCCUCCUCCUUGCUGGAUCAAGGCGUGGGAGACGUCUCCAUUCCAUACGUGUGUUGAACGCGGAGGUGUUGUCCGUUCGGCGCUAGGAUCAUCGGUGAUUUGGAUCACGACGAGUACGACUCCAUCAACCCCGUUCACUUGAACGCCUCCGCUUAGUGAUCUACAAGGGUAUGGAGAUGCACUCUCCUUCCCCUCGUUGCUAGAUUACUCCAUAGAUUGAUCUUGGUGAUGCGUAGAAAAUUUUGAAUUUCUGCUACGAUCCCCAACAGGAGCCUGAGAUAUAAAACUUGAGACACGAUGAGGAGAUUGCGAGGAGAGAGUACCCUGCCUUGGGUUUGCAUCGGCAACUUUAAUGAGAUUUUGCGCCAAGAAGAGCAGAUGGGCCCAAACACCCGAGACAGCUCGCAGAUCGCUGGGUUUCGGGAGGCUGUUGAUGUUUGUGGCUUGUCGGACCUGGGUUAUAAGGGUUUGGAUUGGACAUUUGAGAAGCGGGUGACGGGGGGAUAGUACUGCAGGGUCAGGCUGGAUAGAGCAUUGGCAACAUCUAGUUGGUCGAGCUUGUUUCCAUUUGCUAGCGUGGAGCACCUGACAGCAGCGAAGAGUGAUCAUAGUCCCAUCCUACUGUUGAAUGACUUGGAGGUUGGGGACCAGAGAAUGAACAUAAAUAAACCGUUUCGCUAUGAGUGCGCAUGGGAGACAGACAGUCGCUUCGCAGCAACUGUGGAAGCUGCAUGGAAUGAAGACGGCCCUGGAGGUUCGGUGUCCGAGCUGGCAAACAAGUUGCAUUCUGUUUCUUCGGCCAUGACACGAUGGGGGCGGCACACUUUUGGUUCUGUUCGUAUGGAGUUGCGUUCUCUUCGCCGCCAACUAGCUUUGCUACGAGAGGAACCGACACGCACGGGUCCCAGCCGAGAAGAGAAAGCUAUUGAGGAUCGAAUGAUAGAAUUAGCCUAUCGGGAGGAGAUAAUGGUGAGGCAGCGAUCCCGCAUCACCUGGCUUUCUGAAGGUGAUCGGAACACAUAAUUUUUUCAGAGGAAAGCAAGCGCGAGAAGGUCUAAGAACAGAAUAACACAGUUGAACCGGGAGGAUGGCUCCGCUUGUACGGACAGGGACGAGCUGGCAAACAUGGCAACGGAAUUUUAUGCAAACUUGUAUACAUCAGAGGGCACUAUUGGCAUGGAAGAGGUGCUAUCACAUAUACCGGUGCAAGUAGAUGGCAUAAUGAACUCAAAGUUGAAUGAAACUUACAGUAAAGAGGAAGUAAAGGAGGCCCUCUUCCAAAUGUUUCCGACCAAAGCACCGGGCCCGGACGGUUUCCCCGCCCACUUCUUUCAGAAGCAUUGGGAACUUUGUGGGGACAAGGUAACAAGAAUGAUCAUUCGAGUGCUCGAUGGAGUAGAUUCACUGGAGGAGAUUAACAACAUGUUCAUUGUUUUAAUUCCCAAGAUAGCGAGUCCAAAAGUUUUAGGAAAAUUUCGGCCAAUAAGCCUUUGUAACGUGAUCUACAAGAUCGCCUCAAAGGUCUUAGCAAAUCGGCUGAAAUCCAUUCUCCCUGAUAUCAUCUCUGAAGAGCAGUCGGCUUUCGUUCCUGGACGCCUUAUAACGGAUAACUUCAUAACAGCCUAUGAGUGCUUGCAUUACAUGAAAACCAGGAGGGUCAAAGGUAACUGAUAUUGUGCUCUAAAAUUGGAUAUGAUGAAGGCAUAUGAUCGUUUGGAGUGGUCAUCUCUCGAGGCAGUGAUGACUAAGAUGGGAUUCAGCCCUAGGUUCAUUGCUAUUGUAAUGAGGUGCGUGUCCUCGGUCUCUUUCUCUGUUCUCUUCAAUGGAGGGAGCUUGGAUGUUUUCAGGCCUUCCCGGGGCUUGCGGCAAGGAGACCCUAUAUUGCCUUACCUGUUCUUGCUAGCGGCCGAGGGUUUAUCGUGUCUAUUGAAGGCGCAAGGGGCAGUGCGUGGGAUAGAGGUUGCUCCAAAUGAUCCUACAGUUAACCACUUGCUUUUUGCCGACGACAAUUCGCUAUUUUUUGAAGCCUCCGAUGAGAGUGCUACAAGAGUCAGAGAUAUACUAACAACAUAUUGCAAUGCCUUUGGCCAAAGGAUAAAUCAAGAAAAGUCUUCCAUCUUCUUCAGUAAAGGAGUGCCUGUUUUGACAAAAGAGUCGAUCAAGCAAACUUUGAAUGUUCAUAAUGAAUCUUUAUCAUAGAAAUACCUAGGCUUACCCUCGGAUGUGGGUAGAGCAAAGGAAGGAUCCUUUAGAUAUCUUAAGGACAGAAUCUGGAAGCGAGUUCAAGGGUGGAUGGAGAAGUGCUUAUCAGCUGGGGGGUAAAGAAGUGCUCAUUAAAUCCGUGGCCCAAUCCAUCCCUACAUAUUCGAUGGCGUGUUUCAAAUUACCACUGGGUCUCUGUGAGCAUAUCAAUGGCAUAAUUAGGAAAUUCUGGUGGGGAAGUAAGAAUGGAGAAAGGAAAACAGCGUGGGUCUCAUGGAGUACAAUGACUAAACCGAAAUACAUGGGAGGUUUAGGCUUUCGAGACAUUGAAUUGUUCAACCUGGCAUUGCUUGCUCACCAAGCCUGGAGGCUAUUACAGGAGCCUGAGACGUUGAGCGCAAGAGUUCUUCGAGCCCGCUAUUACCCCGAUGCAAAUAUCCUCGAUGCUACCCUGGGUCAGGCCCCGUCCCAGGUUUGGUGGUCGAUUUUGGAAGGGAGGGAUGUGUUGUCUUUAGUGCUGAUCAAGAGAAUAGGUGAUGGUUCCACUACCCGGAUUUGGACUGACAAUUGGAUACUGAGGGACUAUAAACUACGACCGAUUUGCGCUUUAACAGCUAACCCACCAACUUCGGUGGCGGAGCUUAUCAAUCCCGUGACUCGCUCUUGGGAUAGGCAAAUGCCCUCGGAUAAUUUCAUAGCACUGGAUAUUGAGAUGAUCAUCAAUAUACCCAUCAGUAACCACGUGCAAGAUGACUUCUGGGCGUGGCACUAUGAUCGGCGUGGUGUUUUUUCAGUUCGUUCAGCGUACCGGAUGAUUACGGCUAUCAAAGCUCCAAUGUUCGAGAAAGCGGAAAGCAUAAGCGAAGCGGAAGGCCACAACUUAGAGCAAUGAGUGCUUAAGCGCGGCUUAAUCACACUUAAGCGUUUUUUGAAAUUGGCUAGAAUUUGACAGAUUUUGAAUGAUAUACACAUGAAAAUAGGAAGCAUGGCACAUGGGUAAUUGAAGUAGCAUCUGAAAUACAGUUCACACAAUAGCAAAUACAUAUCAGGUUAGGAUAGCAAGCAAAAUAACAACUAAAAUGCAGUUCAGUUCAAAUAGACAUAACCUAACAGAUAUCAUGUGGACAGAAUUUUGCCAAAAUAUGAAGGAAAUAGUUCUUGAACAUAGCCUAGUAAUAAGAUAAAUAGCAUAUUGCCAUUAUUGCGCAAGCAGACCAGCAAAAGAAGUACAAAAAUUGCCAAAUUUUGGUCAAAUUUAAAUAAAAAACGCUUAAUCUACCGCUUAGGGAAAAAGCGAAGCGAUUUGCCAUCGCCCAGUGCUUAAUUGCACUUAAGCGUCGCUUAAAAACGCUUUCUUGAGAUCGGGACACUCAAACGUUGCAGCUGACAGGAGAUCAUGGACACAGUUAUGGAAGGUGAAAGUGUCAUCCAAAAUUCGUGUUUUCGUGGGGCGACUCGCUCACACUUCGCUUCCCACGGGGCUGGUCCGGCACCAGAGGAAAAUGGAAGAUAAUCCUGUCUGCUCUAUAUGCAAUGCAGCGGAGGACUCAUGGAGGCAUUCACUUUUAAGCUGUACAAUGGCAAGGUGCAUGCGGGCGCUGGGAGACGAUGAGUUGCUUGAGCAUGUGAUAUCGAACCAAAAUGAGGAUGACAGGCUCUGGCUUUUCUGGCUCUUUGAGACCACAAGCCAACAUGCCCUUGCUCGUGUUCUGGUGACCAUGUUGGCGAUAUGGUGGGCUCGGAGAAAGACUAUCCAUGACAAUGAGUUUCAGAGUCCAUUAUCAACAAUGUGCUUCAUCAAGAGAUAUUUAGAUGACCUUGAGAUUGCAGAUGUCACGACACCAAGACCAUUCUUAGGGAGGGUGGAUCGGCCCCGUGCUAAAGCAUGGUUACCAUCUACGAGGGAGGCGGCAAAACUAAAUUGUGACGGAGCUCUUUCCACCUUGGGAGAAAGGGGAGCUGCUACAGUGGUAUGUAGGGACAAGACAGGGAACCUAUCUGGGAGCAUCAACAGUGGUGUAUGAUGGCAUGAUUGACCCAGCGAGCCUAGAGGCGCUAGCUUGUAGCGAAGCCCUCGCCCUUGCUCGGGAUUUAAACUUGCAAGACUUGGAGGUAGCCUCAGACUGUCAGGAGGUGAUAUCGCACAUCAGAGAUGGAGGGGCGCCGGUCUAUGCUCCUAUCCUUAGGGAAAUUCAAUUUAGUAGGAAUUUUUUUACUUCUAUUAUUUUCCGUUUCAAAUACAGGGAGAAUAAUUUUGAGGCCCACUCGCUAGCUAAAGGAGUUGCGUCUCUUGCGGUGGGUCGCCAUGUGUGGCUAGGGGUUUUGCCCGACAUUACUUGUAUUCCUCAGUUUUUGAGUCUUGAAUAAAGCCCCUAGUUUACCCUAAAAAAACCUAGUAUCAUGAAGUGCUUACUAGAUGCUGGUGCUAACCCCGGUAUUCUUGAUGAAGUGAGUCUUAUAUUGUUUCCUCCUCCUUUGCCUUCGUGAUCUACUUUUAAUGCAUAUUUUUUGUUAGUCUUUGGAUGAAUAUUUUUGCCUCAACCGGGACAUGUUAGGUUGAUAGGUUCUAGGCAGAGACAAAAUGAAAGUAGACCCACAUAUUUAUUGUGUACCAUUAUAAGGUUUUGCACUGCUAUGAUCAGUAGAAAUCUUCUUCAGUUCUUCUAGGUGUUGAACUUUCCAUUUGCUGCCCAUCGAAGACUGACAUAGGGCUCUCUACUCUUAUUUGUUUUUGCAGGAAUCCUUUGUAAUCAGCAUCCUGUAUAAUUAUCUCUUUGGAGAGUGCCUUGCAGAAUUUUCAUAUAUUUGUUUAUUUGCCAAUCGAGAAAUUCUCCAGCUUCAUUGCCUUGCCAAGUAGACACAUAGUGCUAAUUUUUGUAAAGACUUAUUCUUCUAUGUAUGUUGUUGUGUUGAUGGCAUAUUCUCUCUAUCCUACUUGACAAAAUAAUGCAAUCUAAGAAACACAUUUGUAUGAGAUUCAGAUUAAUAUUUUAUUAUUUUUACAGGAGUUAACCUUACAAAAAAAUGUUUUACACACUUUUUCCAAAAAAACACAUGACAAUAUUUCUACGGGACAAAUGUAUUUUUGCCCCUAGUUGGAACCUACCCACGGGUUUUGCCCUUACUUUUCGACUCUGCUCAGUUUUGCCCUUAGAUUUUUCUCCGAGGUCACCUGAAUGCCCUUUGACUGUUUGACCAAUACUUUGAAAACUCGUAAUAAAUUGAUAUGAACUCAGAAAAAUGCAAAUAAGAUAUCAAAAGUUUCAGAUAAACAUUACCUUUAUGUGCAUGUCAUUUGCAUUUAGGACAAAAGUACUGUUUAAACUACCUAAGGUUAUUAAUGUUUUUAACAUUAUUAAAAAUAAAAAGGUAUAAACAAUACUUAUUUCAGGAAUAAAAUUUACAUGCAAAUGUAGGUGACAUUUUCUGAAUACCCUGAUAUCUUGUUUGCAUUUUUCUGAGUUCAUAUCAACUUGUUAUGAAGUUUCAAGAAACUUCAUAACAAGUUGAUAUGAACUCAGAAAAAUGCAAAAAAAAAGAUAUCAGGAUGUUCAGAAAACAUCACCUACAUUUGCAUGUAAUUUUUAUUGUUGAAAAAAUUAUUUUUAUACCUUUUUAUUUUUAAUAAUGUUAAUAACAUUAAUAACCUCGGGUAGUUUUAACGAUACUUUUGUCCUUAAUGCAAAUGAGAUGCACAUAAAGGUAAUGUUCUUCUGAACAUUUUGAUAUCUUAUUUGCAUUUUUCCGAGUUCAUAUGAAUUUGCUAUGAAUUUUUAAAGUACUGGUCAAACGGUCAAAAGGCAUUCGGGCGACCUCGGGGGCAAAUCUAAGUGCAAAAUUGAGCAGAGUCGAAAAGUAAGGGCAAAACCCGUGGGUAGGUUCCAACUAGAGGCAAAAAUGCAAUUGUCCCUAUUUCUACAUAUACAUUAAUUUUGUGCUACCACGUGUCGGGUAGCCCACAUGGUCGAUUCUUACCGAGGUGUACUUUCCACUUUUUGAAUGGCGCACAUGAGCCAUACUUUUCUUUGGGGAAACUUUCAUAAAAUGCAUGUAUGAAAAUUCAGGAAUUUUUGUUUUAGAUUUUUGAACAUUUGAAUAUUCAAAAUGAACUUUAAAAAUAUUUUAAUGUUAAAAAAAUUAAAGUGAGAUAUUUCGAAACUUGAAAAAAAUUCCGACUUGUGAUAUUUUUUAACUUUCAUUUUUUGUACUUUACACAAGAAACUGGAAAGUUGGAAAUGUCACACACGUAGGCCCCACCUCUUCAUCCGGUACCGCAUGUGUAGCCAACUGUUACCGCACGUGCUUGUGUGCCCACUCCCCCACCCCUCCCCGCGUACGACGAAGGCUUCCGACGCCUUCCACAUUCCUGGCCCCCACCAUGACGAGUGUGUCGCAAAAAAGCGUGUCCGGACAACCAUACCCAAUGUGCUCCCAUCCUUGACUGGGGGUGCAUUAAACUAUGGAGGAGCAAUUUCGCUCUCGAAGAUUCACGUGGUCAAGUCACCAAAAUAACUCAUUUACACACUUUCUCCAAGACAAACAUGACAAUAUUUCCACAUAUACAUUGAUUUUAUGAUAUCAUGUGCCAGAUUCUUACGAAUGUGUACGUUCCACUUUUUGAAUGGCGCACAUGAUCCAUACUUUUCUUUGGGAAACUUUCAUAAAAUUCAGAAAAAUUUGUUUUAGAUUUUUGAACAUUUGGAUAUUUAAAAUGAACUUUAAAAAACAUUUUUAAUGUUAAAAAAAUUAAGGUUGAGAUUUUUGAAACUUGAACUUUCAAAAUUCUGACUUGUUAUAUCUUUUAACUUCAUUUUUUAAUGUUGUACAAAAGAAAAGGAAAAGCUAGAAAAUGCCACACAUGUAGGCGCCACCUCUUCAUCUCGUACCACGUAUGUUGCCAACUGUUGCUGACGUGCCCUAUCCCCCCACCACUCCCGCAUACGACGACGGCUUCCGGUGCCUUCCACGCACCUGGCCCCACAUGACGACUGUGUAGAAAAAGUGCGUCCCAACAACCAUAUCCAUCGUGGAUGCAUUAAACAAGUGGAGGAGCGUAUUGUGCUCGAAGGUCCAUGUGGUCCAGUUACCAAAAAAACUCAUUUACACAUUGUCUCCAAAAAAACAUGACAAUAGUUCUACAUAUACAUUGCUUUAUGUAAUAAUAUGUCAAAAGAUGCAGUAAUUUGUUUGUUUCUUAUUUUGUAUACAUCACCAAUAGAUAUGUGUUGGAACUAAAACACAUUUUUAAUGCUAAAAAAAUUGAAGUUGAGAAUUUUCAAAACUUGAACUCUCAAAAGUCUGACUUGUGAUUUCUUUUAACUUUCAUUAUUUUUAACUUUAGAUGAUUAGAUGAAAAAAGGAAAGCUAAACAAAUGCCGCGCGGGUGGGCCUUACCUCUUCAUCGCGUACCACAUGUGUAGUCAACUCUUGCCACUCGUGUUCCCCAUAAAAGCGCGUCCCAACAACACUACCAGUGCGGGGUGCAUUAAACAGUGAAGGAGCGUUUUUUUAAUUUUCAUUUUUUAAAACUUUACUCGGGAAAAGGGAAAGCAAAAAAAGUGUCAUGUCAGUGGGCCCAGGCUUUUCAUCCCGUACCACGUGUGUAACCAACUGUUGUCACCCGUGCUUGCGUGGCCACCCCACUACUUCCACGUCCCCGUGCCUCCCGCGUGUCUGGCCCCCACCAUGACGAGCGUUCCUCGAAAAACGCGUCCCAACAACCCUACCAAGUGUAGGUGCACUAAACAUUGGAGGAGCGUUUUCUUUUGACCUUCAUUUUUUUUACUUUACACGAAAAAAGGGAANNNNNNNNNNNNNNNNNNNNNNNNNNNNNNNNNNNNNNNNNNNNNNNNNNNNNNNNNNNNNNNNNNNNNNNNNNNNNNNNNNNNNNNNNNNNNNNNNNNNNNNNNNNNNNNNNNNNNNNNNNNNNNNNNNNNNNNNNNNNNNNNNNNNNNNNNNNNNNNNNNNNNNNNNNNNNNNNNNNNNNNNNNNNNNNNNNNNNNNNNNNNNNNNNNNNNNNNNNNNNNNNNNNNNNNNNNNNNNNNNNNNNNNNNNNNNNNNNNNNNNNNNNNNNNNNNNNNNNNNNNNNNNNNNNNNNNNNNNNNNNNNNNNNNNNNNNNNNNNNNNNNNNNNNNNNNNNNNNNNNNNNNNNNNNNNNNNNNNNNNNNNNNNNNNNNNNNNNNNNNNNNNNNNNNNNNNNNNNNNNNNNNNNNNNNNNNNNNNNNNNNNNNNNNNNNNNNNNNNNNNNNNNNNNNNNNNNNNNNNNNNNNNNNNNNNNNNNNNNNNNNNNNNNNNNNNNNNNNNNNNNNNNNNNNNNNNNNNNNNNNNNNNNNNNNNNNNNNNNNNNNNNNNNNNNNNNNNNNNNNNNNNNNNNNNNNNNNNNNNNNNNNNNNNNNNNNNNNNNNNNNNNNNNNNNNNNNNNNNNNNNNNNNNNNNNNNNNNNNNNNNNNNNNNNNNNNNNNNNNNNNNNNNNNNNNNNNNNNNNNNNNNNNNNNNNNNNNNNNNNNNNNNNNNNNNNNNNNNNNNNNNNNNNNNNNNNNNNNNNNNNNNNNNNNNNNNNNNNNNNNNNNNNNNNNNNNNNNNNNNNNNNNNNNNNNNNNNNNNNNNNNNNNNNNNNNNNNNNNNNNNNNNNNNNNNNNNNNNNNNNNNNNNNNNNNNNNNNNNNNNNNNNNNNNNNNNNNNNNNNNNNNNNNNNNNNNNNNNNNNNNNNNNNNNGCUAAAAAAAUGUUGCACGGAUGGGCUUUACCUCUUCAUCUCGUACCACGUGUGUAGCCAACUGUUGCCACUCAUGCUUGCGUGGGCACCCCACCACUCCCGCGUACGACGAUGCCUCCCCGCGCCCCCCUCAUGCCUGGACCCCACCAUGAGGAGCGUUCCCGGAAAAAGCGCGUCCCAACAACCCUACCCAGUGCGGCAGUGAAGGAGCGUUUUCUUUUAACUUUUAUUUUUUAAAACAUUACACGGGAAAAGGAAAAGCUAAAAGCAUGUUGCGCCGAUGGAUCCUGCCUCUUCAUCACGUACCACGUGUGUAGUCAAGUGUUGCCAUUCGUGCUUGCAUGGGCACCCCACCUCGCCCACGUACGACGACGCCUCCCCGCGCCUUCCGCGUGCUGGUCCCCACCAUGACAGGCUUUCCUUGAAAAAGCACGUUCCGACAACGCUACCCAGUGCGGGUGCAUUAAACAGUGGAGGAGUGUUUCUUUUGACCUUAAUUUUUUUUAACUUUACAGGGGAAAGGAACAACAAAAGAAAUCAGGCCUCUUUUGGUUCAUAAGAUAGGAUUAUCAUAGAAAUAGGAAUCUUGUAGGAAAUGAGAUGACAUGUAUAUCAAAUCUUAUGAGUAGGAAUAGGAAACAAGAUGUCAUUUGGUUGACACCAGAGGAAUUUUUUCAUUGAGUCUAGACUCUUUUUUAUUUUUCUAUGAAAUGUGGAGGAUAUGAGCUAAUCCUAUGUAAGAAUAGGAAUACAUUCCUAUGAAUCAAAAGGUCUUUAAAGGAAAAAAUCCCAUAAGAUUUCUCCAAACCAAAGGAGGCCUGGCAGAGGGGUGUACAAAUUAAAAGCCACUCUCCAUCUGCGGCACUUCUCCACUGCGACUGCGACUGCUCUCUCCUGACUGGAGUCAGUGUCUCGGGUGCUGCUGACCCGCCGUCUUCUCCGCUUGCCGUGCCGCCAUCGCCAUGGAUGGGGUUUCGACGGAGCCUCGCCACCCGCUCCUGCAGGCCGUUCUCGACGGCGACCUCCGCCUCCUCAAAGGUACUAGCAACAACAAGCAGCCCGCUGCCUCCUAUUGCUCCUGCCCCUACCCUUAGGGUUCCUUCCUUCGUGAUGGUAAUUUGGCUGGAUCGUGUGCGCAGAGAUGGCGGGCGUCGUGGCGGCGGACGUCGGCAUCAGGGCGCGCGCGCUGACUGUGGCGGUCAUGGAAGGGCGGCUGGACAUCUGUAGGUGCCUCGUCGAGGACCACGGCGUCGACGUCAACCAGCGCACCUUCACAGGUUAAUUAGUCCGGUUCCCUUUGGAUCUCUUCGCCUCAAUUCUGCUGCACCUCCCAGGCUAGACGCACAAGUGCACAUCACAUCUCAGUAAUCCCAGGUUAAUUUGGUUCUUUUGUUUUGUUGCAGGUGACACUCCUCUGGCCAUUUCUGCGACUUAUGGGACGCCUGCUACCACCAGAUAUCUUCUGGAUCGUGGUGCUGAUCCAACUUUAGCUGGUGCCCUGUGGCCACCUCUUCAUGCUGCUGCAAGUUUUGGUAUCCCCUCGCCUCUCCCACACGCGUGCAGCCUGUUCAACUUCCAUCCUGCCAUAUGUUUUUAUUGACAUCUAGUAUUCACCAAGUUCAGACAUAUGUGAUUUGGACGGUGGAACAAGCAGAAACAAUGAGUUUCUGUACGGCAACUUUGAGGAUUGGAAUGUAAAGUAAAUUGGUGUUAAUUAAUUCUAGUCUUGUUUGCUCACAGAUCGAUUUUCGGGAGAGAAAACACCGUGUCACUCUCAAGUGUUAAUUCUAUUCUUGUUUGCUCACAAAUCGAUGAUUUUUGCUAGCUACUGCCUAUAUUUAGAUAGAAAAACAACUAGCUAGAAGUCAAAUAUUCUAAACUUGGUCCUGGACAUGAUCAUUGGUAACUGGCGGUUAUCACAUUUGCAAGUGUACAAUUCAAAAAAACAUUUGCAAGUGUCUACAUUUUUUUCUUUUUGCAAAAAUAAGCUUAUCUUGCUGAUUUUUUCUACAAACUUGUAUUCUAGGACAAUGUGAGAUAGUGGAAUUGCUGCUUUCAACUGGAAUUGAUGUGGAUCAUUUCGAUUCUGUGUAUGGGACCGCAUUGCAUGUUGCCGCUACUAAUGGUCAAGAUGGCUCGAUGAAUAUUUUGUUGCAGCAUCAUGCAGAUGUAAGUCACCACUUUCUUCCUUCUCUUCUGGGCUGUGCAAAAGUAAAUCCUGGUUGGUUUCUUAAGGCCCUAAGCGGCUUUAUCUCCAGUUCAUAACUAUCAUGCAUGCAAUGUAAUGAGAAGUGGAAAUACUGUUGUCUGUUAGUACUUGGGCUCAAUCAUCUGAACCGUAAGAGUUUGUUUAUGUUGGCACAAAGCAAAACAUAUAUACAAUGUUUGUCGUUUGACCAUAAAUAAUUCUCCUGAAAUGAAACAUGCUUAUUUUCUCACAGGUGCUCUAAAUGUUUGUCUAAUUUUUAUAAUUAAAUCAAAAAAAUGUAUGCUUCUGUGCGUUGAGAAAUGCCAAUAUGUGACACACACACACACACACACACAAUGUGCUUAUUUUAUUUCCCCAUUACUCCUUUUUUUGCAAGUGAAUAAAUUGGUUUUUCUACUUUCCACAGCCCAAUAAGGUUUUCCGCCUUGAUAGUACCCCGUUAAGGCUGGCCAUGAUUUCUGAAUCACUGGAAUGUGUGAAGCUACUCAUUAAGGUCAGUAAUCUUUCUCGUUUAUGGAGCUUCCUUUAGUGUAGUCUACAUUUUCUGCAGUUGACAUCUCAAGCACUUACUCAGAUGAAACUAAAAUUUAUUUACACAGGCUGGCGCUGAUGUGAAUAAAAUUGACUAUACUGGUGUUACUUACUUGAUGAUAGCAGCGGGCAAUGGCUUAUCUGAUACCCUGAAAUGCUUACUAGAUGCUGGCGCUAACCCAGAUAUUGAUGAUGGGGUGAGUCACUGAGUCUUGUAUUGUUUUCUCCCCCUCUGCCUUCAUGCUCUACUUUCAUGCGUAUUAUCUGUUCGUAGUUGGCUGAAUGGUUGUGCCUCGGUGGGACAUGUUAGGUUCUAGGCUGUUGAGAGAUUAGGAUAAACUAGCGUGUAGUGCGCGGCGGCACGCCGCGCCACAUGGAUUGAUAAGUUAUUUAUUUAUUUUUGUAAUUUUUGGUAAGUCGUCUCAAGGCUUAAUUCACGACAAAUUAGUUAUUUUUUUUUUGGUAAUUUUUGGUAAGUCGUCUCAAGGCUUAAUUCACGGCAAAUUAGUUAUUUGUUUUUUUGGUAAUUUUUGGUAAGUCGUCUCAAGGCUUAAUUCACGACAAAGUAGUUCAUAUAAGAAAAGGGUGUAUGCAUAAGUGAUCUACAGUAGGUGGGAAAAGGGUGCAUCUAGUCUAGGCGGUAUAUGCAUAAGUGAUCUACAGUACGUGAUGAUAGUGGCUACUGGAUACAAAAUUGCAAAGCUCUAGUUCUUUUCUUAGACCUGAGGUUAGCUAAAAAAAGGAUUGUUCUUCGCUAACAAAUAGAAGAUGAUGCCAACAAUGAGGCUGUUUCAAGACCCCAUUUAUUUAAUCACUACCGGUCAGUUUUCAUACUACAUAUAUACUGGGAAACACUCAAGAAGACCACAUGUGCAACUUUAACACAGCUUCCUGGAACAAUCAACUGUCUUUUUAGAGAAUUCAUUAGCAUGGAUGAUAUACAAUGCGCCAAAUCCAUAACAGCUCGGCUUCGUGGAACAAUCAACUGUCCUUUUAGAGAAUUAAUUAGCACGGAUGAUGUCCGAUCAGCACGAUGUAUGCAAACAUUUGAGUUGCUUUAAUAUCAGGAUUGAAAUCUGUAGAAAUUCAUGUGACCAGACCACACUAUCUAAGGACCAAGGAAAAUCUCAUGAUAAAAUUGUCAGCUUUAUGUAAGAUAGCAAUGAUGCUAGAAAUGGGAAGUUCCAGGGGCCUAAGUUUUAUACUGAUAACGCAUGGCAUGCCACUCUAUACUUAAAUCUCAGGCCAUUAGAACCUUAGAAACAUGGAAAAUCCCUUGUGGCCUCAAGAAAACAAUCAAGUAUGAAAGAAAAAAGAAAGAAAAUAGACGGAGUAUAUAAUUAGCAACCUUCCAAAAUAAAAUACGAUAAAUGACAUGGAGAAGGCACAAGUUCACUUAGAUUUGUAGGUACUUCCAUUUAGAAAAGGAAUUGUACAAACUAAUUGCUAGAGCAGCAAUGAAGCAGUGAACAAAAAAAAGAAAAGAUUGUAGGAAGUUCCACAUAAUAAGCAACCUUGAGAUAGAGAUGACAAAAGGCUGAAACGACCUUGGCUCCCAGAAGUUGUGUAGGGUGUGGUCGUUUUUUCUCUGAGUGCAAGAAAGCAAAGAAAAUAAUAAUUCUGAAGUUACCCAAAUAUCCACAAUAGGGUUAUUUACUGGCAGUAAUUGGUAUUGAAAAGGUAGGCGCUAAGUAGCUCUCUAAUAUAUAUUUUGUUUGGAGAAUCUUAUAGGAAAUGUUGGUCUAUGCUCUUUACUAUUUAACCAGAGCAUGAUUAUUAUAAACAAAAAAUGGUACAUGCAUAUUAGACAAUGUGAAUCAGUAGGCACUGAAUUGGAAGCAUGAUUAACAAGGGAGAAAGUGAAGUCCUGUUAUGCAGUUGUUAGUUGGUAGUUGAGCAGUUUUAACAUGCUCCCCCUUAUCUCCUUUUUUCACAUGAGAGGUAAGAGCAUAUAAUAGAUCUGACCCGUUGAUCUCAUUAAUUGGUGGUCUGAUUAACUCUUACCUUCUUACGUGACAUGUAAAAAGCUGGGGUAAGAGGGAGCAUGUUAAAAUUUGCCUAGCUGGUAAUCAGGAGCUAGAAUGAUUUACAAAAGGAGAUGUAUAGCCAGUUCAAGCAUUUAGGAAUCAGUGGAUACUCAACUGUAAGCAUGAUCCAUAGGAGAGAAAGCAGUCAGAUUAUGCAACCAUUAAUUGGUAAUUAAUGACCGGUACGUUUGUAAGCAGCUCUGUUAGUAAGAACAGAUCUUGUGAGCUCAAGAGACCAAACUGCUACAGUCCAAUUUCUAAAGCAUUUCUUGCAAAAGGAAAUACAAACAAUACUGCUAAAAACAUAAAGUCAUUGUGCCAAUAUCUCCUACAAAGAUCAAAUGGGGAAAUAGGUACGGGGGAAAUUUAAGUGGUUCUGGAAUAAGAAGGAAUUUCUCAUCUGUUUUGCCAAAUUGCACUGCAUGUAAAGUUAUGCCCAAAAUGUUAUGCUUGACUCGGGAAUAAUGUAGUGCAGCAGUAUAUUGCCAAUAAAUCAUGCUCAGUUGUACUGGAAGCCAAUAUACUCCACAAGACACAUCUCGUCAGAACUAAAGUUCCAAAUGUACAUAGACAUCAAGCUGUAGCAUUUCCUCAGUACGUCAGUAAUGCACAUCAAGUGCUUAUGUGUUUGAACAGCAUGCGAAAUUAAAACAGAAUUCCUACCAGGAAAUGGAACACAACGUAAUGGAUAGAUCAAGAAUAAAAACGAUUUACCAUGCUAUAUUAGAGAUGUAGGUCAUGAAUUUCUUGCACAUACGGGCAGGAGCUGGAUCUCAAAAUCCAUGUCCUCCCCACAGACUUGCACACAUACCUGGUAAACCUUCCGUUUACACUAAUAAUCAGUUAGGUAUACAAUUUUCUGUACUAUAUGCACCCACCUUUCUGAUCUGAACUUGUAAGCAAUGACAGUUCAUCUCCUUGUAAAACAAAACCUUUCUGCAACGACAUAUCAAACCAAGAGCAAAAAAACCUCCCACAUGUUUUUUCCCUUACAUCAGUAAAAACAGAAGUCUAGAUAAUACAAACUAUCAUCUAAUCUAGUAAUAAUUAUGGUGUGUGUAGUUAUAUAGAUUUGAACAGUGGAUGUGAAAAAGAACAAAAAGAGGAGCAUACCUUAGUGGUGUUGCUACUGCCAACAAAGUGACGACCAACUGGAGAGCUACCGCCUGAGAGUUGCUAGCUCGCUGCUUGCCGCGUGAGUGACAGAGGAGGAGUCGAGAGCUCGUGGGGAAAGGAGGGGCGAAACACUGCAGUAGCUCGCUGUUGGCUCGCCUCCGGAGGACAGAAGGCCGUGGGUAGUGGGCUCGUCCACCGCCGCCACCAAGUUGGAAGCUGGCGCUGCAGGCUUGCCGAGGAAGGCGGAAGGGCACCGCCUAGGACCAAACUGAGAGCAACGCCGGAAAAAAGAGAGCAGAUCCGUCAGCAUCAUCCUCUCGCUCGCCCGUACUGGCAGAUGACGCGUCGGUUCCCUUCUGCGCUUCCGUGGGGAGAAACAUCAGGUGAAACGCCAUCACUCGGGGCACGGGGGAUGCGUGGCGGUGACGCAGCUUGCUGGGGUGGCGGUCGCCGGGAUGUGCCGAGGACGGCGCUGCACACUCUCAGUCUUGGCUUCACGGACGCAGCGGACAGCAACCCAUCCGUGAGGAUGCUGGCGAGCACCAACUUGACGCGGUCGUGUCCUCCCCGCGAGCCCCACUGCCUGGUGCCGCCACCGCUCGUCUGGCCAGUCGCCGUUCCAUGACCAUGCCGUCCGCGACCGACCACCACAAAUGCCCCUUCCAUCGCCACCUCUUCGCCGAGCGGCGUCACCAUCGUCCCUCUCCGCCAUCCAGCACCGUGGGUUGGCUGUCCUGGUGGUCGCCCGUCUCGUCUUCCUCUGGGAGGUGCCCGGUCGCCUCCCUUGUGCAGCCGGCUAGGACAGGGUGUAUGUGAAGAGGGGGUGGUGCAGCCGAAGUGGAAGGAGGUGCGAUGGCUACGUGCGCCACCACCUUGGCCCGGGGAGGGUAGAUGCGAAGCCGUCGCUCCGAGAGGAUUUGGAUGCCGGCAGUCGGGCCUGGCAGAGAACGGGAAGGAUGGUUGUGGGAGCCGCGAUCUGGGAGAUGAACGGGGGCAUUUUAUAGUCGUCUACAUCGGAAGCAGUUUUGAUGGGAUGCCUCUCGAGAGGUCCAGAGAAACAGCUCUAGACGCCUCCACAUCCACCCGUCUAAAUAGGCCACUGCCACGUAAUAUCAAAAGACAAGUAAAAUAAUAUAGAGGAACUCUCCGGUAGAAUUUCAUGCACACGCGUCAAUAGACAAGGUCAUCUGACUUUGGCAAUCACCACGUCAAAUCAAACGUGCUAAAACCAUCCAACCAAGAUUUUUUUACUGCACCCAGGAAAACUGCUGGACACGCGUCACCCCAACAACCGUGCUAAAAAAAAGUUCAAAAAACCCAGAAAAAUGAAUCCCUUACAGGCCUAGUAUUCUUAGUAUGUGCUCAGCCGCUUCUUUUACAUCAACUGUACCCAUGCUGCUGGGAAUAUUUUAUUCAUGCAUGAGGAUUGAGGAAACACAUUGUUUUGGUAAAUCAUAUCUGUUACUACGUGAUGCAUGAUCUACUGAGAACAUGGGAAAAGUAUUCCUACCAACAUGUUUACUGUGUAAUAUCAAUGGAGCAGAUCACCAUAUCUUAACAUUUUGCACCGCCUUGGUCAGCACAUAUCGGCUGCAGUUCUUCCCAGGUGUUGAACUUACCAAUUGCUGCCCAAGGAAGACGGGCAUAGGCUUUUCUGCUCUUUUUUCCCCUUGUUUUUAGGAGGAAUUCUUUGUAAAUCACCAUCCUGUGCAAUUAUCUCUUUGCGGAGGCAGCGGAGUACCUUGCAGGACUUUCAUGAAUUUAUUUAUUGUCAAUGGAGAAAUUCUCCAGUUUUCUUCAUUGCCUGGUCAAAUAGACACAGGAUGCUUUCAAAGACUUAUUCUUCUAUUGUGUCGAUGGCACAUUCUCUCUCUAUUCUGCUUUGACAAACUAAUGCAGUAUAAGAAACAUAUUAGUCUGGGAUUAGAAUUAAUAUUUUUAUAGGAUUUAAUCUUAGCUUUAUUUCCCGAAUUUAGUGGAGAGGUAUGGACAAGACUAUUCCAUUGUUUGUUCCCGCGUUUUGAUUUGCUCAAAGCCCAUCUAGCCAUUUGGUUGAAAUUGUAGACUUGGAAUUGUAACUAUCAAUGUUGAAAUGCUCUGCUAGUAUAGUCCAUCUUGUAUUAAUGAUGAUCGAACAUGAAAUCAGCCAUCUCAUUUACUCCUGCAGUUUGGUACAACUCCAAUCGAAAUUGCCGCCCUCCAAGCCAGAUGGGAUAUGGUUGCGAUGUUAUUUCCUUUAACUUCUCCCAUUUCAAGAUUGCCGGAUUGGAGUGUUGAUGGAAUUAUUUCUCAUGUGCAAUCUUUCGGUUUGAAGCCGAGGGUAUGUAGUUCCUUUUCCGCUCACUUACAGUUCCAUAAUAUUAUGUACAAUGGCUAGUCGUCUUCCAUUCUUCUGUUGCUCUGCUCCUGCAGUCAUGAUUUCUAUUGAUAUUUAUAAUAACAGAAAAAUGUUAUGCAUACCCAGACCCUGCGCAAGCGGGAGCUACAUGCACCGGGCUGCCCUUUUUAUAAGCGCCCCACAUUUGAGAAAGUUUUAAUGUCAUUGUUAGGGUCAACUAAGAUUCUAAGUGAAGCUUCUUUUCUGUGUUUGUGCUGUAUAUAUGUCUUGACCAAAAAUAUUUUUUGAUCAGGAUAUACAUCUAUGUGAAGCGAAAAGAGCUGAACUAAAGUUGCAAGCUACAGAGGCUUUUAAGAGAAAGGAAUAUAUCAUAGCAGGAGACCUAUAUACUUGUGUGAGUCACUGAGCCUAGAUGAUUAUGAUAGUUACGGUGUAAAUUAAACAUGUGCUUGUCAUUGUUAUCUAGCAAGACACUUCACAUUUUGAACACGCCCAAAAGGUUCAAUCCCUGUCAAACUGUUCAGUGUCCUAAUCUAACUGUUUAAGCUGCAGCUAGACUAGAACCACAGUAUCUAAAACAAAGGGCAGUCUGUGUUUUGCACUGUAUCUAAAACAAAGGGUAUCUAGAACCACAGUAUCUAGAACUACAGCUGCAUGCUAUUAUAACAGUUGUUUUGCACUGUUUGUCCUCAAAAUUCAGUCUGGAUUAUGCUCGCAGUUGCUAUUGCCACACACACACACACACACACAAAAACCCUGCUUUGGAGUUGAACUGCUUAUGUUUUAGUUAGAGGAACCGUGUGAACAUUCAAAGGUAUUUAAAAUUCCGGAGUUAUCUAUAUUAAUUCAUAAAAAAUCAGCAUCAUUUUCCAUGUAUCUUUCGUGAAAAUUCUGUCAGAAAUGUUAUACUGAUUUCAUAAAAGUGAAUGGUUUCUCUCUGUCUCGAUCUGGAUUAUCGGAAAUGUUGGUGGGGUCAGUGAAAAUGUUGUUACUGUGUUAUGCAAACUACUACCUUGUAACAAAAUCUGCAUGUGAUUGGUCUACUGUAGGCAAUGAGUUUUCAGCCUAGUCCAAAAGGUCUUGCAAACCUGCUAGCACAUAGGAGUUUCUGUAUGUUGCACGCGGGAAUAGGAAAAGAGGCUCUCUCCGACUCUGCUAGGUGCACAGUGCUACGACCUCUUUGGCCCAAAGGUUACUAUCGACUAGGAGCAGCCUUUAUGUUGCUACAGGUAAAACAGAAUAAAUUUGUUACGGCUAUUCUUUCGUGACCAUGAUGAAAUUGAUCAUCUUCUGGUGUCUACUCACAGGACUAUGGAAAAGCAGCUCAGACGUUCGAAGCUGGCUUGAAACUGGACCCUACAAAUGCGGAUAUGGCAAACGCUUUAAGGUAAUUGUGUGUUCCAUGUCUCCAUGUUGCGAGGAAUCUUGUGCAGUCCCACCUGCUUGAUUGGUCCCCUAAAAGGACGAACUAUUUCUUAUAUGCUCCCUCUGUUCCUGAAUAUAAGACGUUUUCGCAGUUCAAUUUAAACUGCCAAAACGUCUUAUAUUUAGAAACAGAGGUGGUACGUAGAUCGAAGUCCUUCUGGAGUGCAAGUGUUUUCUGUGUCUUGAUUGUCUAAACUCGGGCAUCAUGCGGAUUUAAUGAUUUAAGAUCUAUUAAGAGUGAGUUUGGAGCUACAGCUCUGGUUCUCAAAUCCAUGGAAAGAAAGAGAGCACCUUGUCCUGGUGCCCUGUGCAUGCCUUUGUUCUGUUCAAUCUCUGGAAAAAAAAGGCUCUUUUCACUAUUUUGACCCUUUCAGAAAACUUUAGCACAAAAUGAACUCCACACAAAACUAUUUCACAAUCUGACCCUUUUGGUAACGCCACAAGCCGUGGCGUUUCUUCUCUAUUUGAAAACGCCGAACUAGCUAGCGUUGCUUCACUUCAUAAAUAAAUGAAAAAUGUGAAAAACUAGUUGAAACGCCAACAACCCUUGGCGUUGCAUGCUUGUGCAGCAACGCCCACCCCAUUGGCGUUUCCAGCAACGUUACAAACUUUGGCGUUUCAGCCCUGCUACGUAGCGUCUCGAUCAGGCCAAUAACGCUAGCUAGUUCGGCGUUUUCAUAUAGUGCAGCAACGUCACGGUCUUUGGCGUUUCUGAAAAGGGUCAGAUCGUGAAAUUGUUUUGUGUGAAGUUCAUUUUGUGCUAAAGUUUCCUCAUAAGAUCAGAACAGUGAAAAAGGCCGAAAAAAAAGAGCCAUAUAGAAGUCUCGCCCGCCCAUUGCUUACCCCAAAAAUAUUUUUCGUCGCAGGGAAGCCCAAGAGACGGCGAGGAAUCCUCCUCGCACCAGGGGGCUGGAGUGCCUUCACCCAUUUGGAAUGAGACGUUCCUGGAGUGAUUGAGGCGCUGUUUCGUUGCUAUGUCCAGUCCAGGGUAUGCAUGCCUGCCUGUUAUUCUCUUUUCCUAUGUCCAGUCCAAGGUAUGCAUGCCUGUUAUUCUCUGGAGAGACUGAGACUCUGUUUCGUUGCUUAAGACUCUGUUUUGUGUUGAACCGUCCAAGAGUACUGAUCUCAUGUGCUAUAUUGUAGACCGUGUAAACAUGGCUAUCUGUACAUUGUGGUUAUAUGUCGUCUCCGUGAACCAUUGUGGUUAUAUAUCGUGUGCGUGAAUCACUCUGAAAAAUGCGCUUGUCAUGGUGAAAUCUAAGCAGUACUAUACUGGCUAGAAAAAAAAGGAUAAAAGGCAAAAAAGAAGUGUCAUCUAGGUAGGGGAUCGUGUGGAACUGCAGAUAUAUUUUAGUAUUUGAGAAAAAAGAAGAUAAUUUGUGUGGAAAGCGGGAUUUAGUAUGGCGUUGGGCAUGCUGUAGAUGUUAGCUGGGAGUGGGAGGUUUGCUGGUGGGUACGCACAUUAGAAUCCUGAAAAUACAGUGCUUACUGAGGACAAAGAGAGGAUUCUAGGGGAAUUCUGCACAUCUCUAUUUUUAUAGGUAAAUUUUGCACAUUUUUUGCCAUCACCUGUUGCUGGGUGGUGAAUUUAACUAGAAACCACACAAGCAUUUACGGGCUCGUGUUUGAAAAACACACGCUCGAGACGGUCCAGUGGAGGAAUAGGGGCAUGUCCAGGGUGCACCCACGAGGCGAAAUAAAUCAAAAGGAAAACAACAUAGACUGCAGUCUGCUGGACAAAAUGUGUCUUUCAUGCAAACGAAUAAAAGCAUGUGUAUCUACACGAAAGAACAACCGAGUCAUGUGCACAGAUGAACAUAUACCAACACGCAAAUGAUAAUUACAGAAUAGUAGUACUCAUCAUGGGUGCAUGGAACAACAGAAACUAAAAGGAAUGGUGGAAUACAAGGAAUACAAAAAGAUGCAUCAUCACUAUCUCGCUAACCGGAUACUAUGCCACUUAUUCUAGAAAUAGCACAUCGUGGCUCCGGACGGGGUCGAUCUCCUCCUUCAGCUGUCAUAUGUGAGUAUCACAUCAAUUGUCAGUCAUCGGUGGCUUGCCCUUCGGAGGCGGCUCCGGCUUCGGUUCGGGCUCAGGCUUGGGCUCUGGCUUAGGCAUAGGUUCAGGCUUAGGCUCUGGUUUAGGCAAUGGUUUGGGCUUAGGCUCUGGCUUUGGCAUCGGCUCAGGCUUGGGCUCUGGCUUCGGUUCUGGCUUCGGCAUUGGCUCGGGCUUGGGCUCGGGCUUUGNNNNNNNNNNNNNNNNNNNNNNNNNNNNNNNNNNNNNNNNNNNNNNNNNNNNNNNNNNNNNNNNNNNNNNNNNNNNNNNNNNNNNNNNNNNNNNNNNNNNNNNNNNNNNNNNNNNNNNNNNNNNNNNNNNNNNNNNNNNNNNNNNNNNNNNNNNNNNNNNNNNNNNNNNNNNNNNNNNNNNNNNNNNNNNNNNNNNNNNNNNNNNNNNNNNNNNNNNNNNNNNNNNNNNNNNNNNNNNNNNNNNNNNNNNNNNNNNNNNNNNNNNNNNNNNNNNNNNNNNNNNNNNNNNNNNNNNNNNNNNNNNNNNNNNNNNNNNNNNNNNNNNNNNNNNNNNNNNNNNNNNNNNNNNNNNNNNNNNNNNNNNNNNNNNNNNNNNNNNNNNNNNNNNNNNNNNNNNNNNNNNNNNNNNNNNNNNNNNNNNNNNNNNNNNNNNNNNNNNNNNNNNNNNNNNNNNNNNNNNNNNNNNNNNNNNNNNNNNNNNNNNNNNNNNNNNNNNNNNNNNNNNNNNNNNNNNNNNNNNNNNNNNNNNNNNNNNNNNNNNNNNNNNNNNNNNNNNNNNNNNNNNNNNNNNNNNNNNNNNNNNNNNNNNNNNNNNNNNNNNNNNNNNNNNNNNNNNNNNNNNNNNNNNNNNNNNNNNNNNNNNNNNNNNNNNUCAGGUUUGGGCAUCGGGUCAGGCUUGGGCUCAGGCUUUGGUUCGGGCUUUGGCAUCGGCUCCGGCUUCGGCUCCGGUUUGGGCUCUGGCUUUGGCAUGGGUUCAGGUUUGGGCAGAGGCUUAGGCUCUGGUUUUGGCAUGGGUUCAGGUUUAGGCAGAGGCUUAGGCUCUGGCUUUGGCAUGGGUUCAGGCUUAGGCAUUGGCUCUGGCUUGGGUUCCGGCUUGGGCUCCGGGUACGGCAUCGGCUUGGGCUCCGGCUCGGGGAGCUUCUCGGCGAGGCCCCGACCAGC